ACCUGGGUGGCUCAGUCGGUUGAGCGUCCGACUUCGGCUCAGGUCAUGAUCUCACAGUUCGUGGGUUCAAGCCCCGCCUCAGGGU
This 85-nucleotide transfer RNA is filed under the name Felis catus (domestic cat). It matches the Rfam family "tRNA". Rfam says of the family: Transfer RNA (tRNA) molecules are approximately 80 nucleotides in length. Their secondary structure includes four short double-helical elements and three loops (D, anti-codon, and T loops). Lineage: Eukaryota; Metazoa; Chordata; Mammalia; Carnivora; Felidae. The record is from Rfam by way of RNAcentral.